UCCAUAUGCCAUGGGUGUGGCAUGUGCCACCCUAAAAAGACAAAAAAUACAAUAAAAUUAAAUUAAAAUCUUUUUAAAAAUAUGUCCUUACUGAUUAAGUGUUAAUUGGGACCCCAUCAUGAGAACCCAGUGCCUCCCUGUCACAGAGGCAUGUACCACAGAGAAAGCACAGGCUGGAGGACUGAAUGGGCAGAGAGUCACUUGGAUGAAGGAAGUGGUCCACAGAGGGUCAGAAAUGUCCCUCCAGCAAGUCGCAGUUCGGAUGAUAAAGACAAUUAAAACAAGUGACCUCCUACAUAAAAUGAACUGAUUUUUCUCUCUCUUUCCAGCAGGAUCAGAAUUGUUUGGCAUGGAGCCAGGGGUGGACAGCUGGCUAUAUAUUGACUACAAGGUCCAUCAACUCUCAAAAGCAGAAACUGAAGCAGGAAACACCCAAGUCCUCAGGAGAAGGAUGGGUGGGACAGAGAUGCCAAUUCCACUGGGAAAGAUUAGAAGGGAUUUUUAUUUUUGGCCAUUUUCCAAGUCUGAGCACAUUACGUGAUGUUCUCUGGACCGUGGAGAGAAUUAAAAUCAUCAUGCUCACUGAAGCUCCAGGACAGCAGGAAGGUGGGAAGUUGUGAAGCCCGAAUCACAAAAUGCCCCCUCCAGGUUAUCAGGCUCUGUGGCACUUCCUACACAUGAUGUCACUCAUUCCUCCCCGUGUUUCUGUGCUGGCGAGCACCACAAUUAGCAGACCUGUUACAGAGGGUUGGAGAAAUUUGUCUGAAGUCACACAGCCAACAGAUGGUGGAAUCAAGACUCAAACCAGGUCUUCUGACUCUAGUAGCUAUGCUUGAUAAAUAGCUAUAACUUUUAACAAAAGGGACAGUGGGGGACAUGUGAGUAUGGGGGUGUGGGUGUGAUGGGUUGAUGGCCGAAAGCUUUCUGGGACCCUGCUACUCAUGCUAGAUUUUCUGGUCCUGAUUAGCUGCUCCAUGGCUGCCAGGAGCUGUUAUUAUCACUCACUCCUAUGCCCUUGUCACUGGGCCUGUGGGGACCUGCCCUUCCUUCCUGCUCUUGGCCCUGUGAUGUUGACAGCUGUACUGGGAAAUCACAUGCUGGCUGCUGCCACAAUUACCAGACACAGACUGUAAGUGCCUCCCUGGACGUCCUGCCACCCUGUCUCAUGCCGGCCCCUACACAGGUGCUCAGGCCACGGCUUUGCUCCAUCUGUUUUACUUCUGUGUGGUAUGAAAAAGCCCAAAGUUUGUUGAAGAAGGAGAAAUGCGCCGAGAGAAUAAAAACAAUGAUGAUCAGAACAAUAAAAAUCAAUAAGCAACAUUUUCAAUGUGUUUUGCAAUCACCAAACACCAGACUCACUGCCUGGCCUCCAGUGUCUUGGAAGACGAGUUCUGUGACUCACUGUAAACCACACGAUAGGACUCAACUCCCAGACUCUGGCUUCAAACUCUAUCUUCUAAAAAUGCCUUCUAAAGAAAAGAUUUCUGUCUCAUCAGUCAGCUCAUCUGGCAUUUGAAAACCUCAAGCAGAAAUUCCCCAGGUCAGCAUUAUGCAUUCUCCAAGACCAAGCUUCUUCAAACAGAAACCAAAAACAAUGAAAACUAAAUACCAAUGGCUUCUGGCUUCUCUUCAGCGAUAACAAGUCUUCAUUCUUUUUCUCUGUUCCAUGUGAAAAGUUAUACCCCCAAAGGGGAGCUGUGGGCUUUCCAAUGGUGGAGCAGAGAUGGGGGCUUAGGGAACGAAACCUUCAGAAAUAACCUUCUCCUUCCUCCCUCUACCCACAUUGAGAACAUAUUCAUUUCACUGAAUUUAAAGUCAAUGAGACCAUAAAGGACCAGUUCUGUAUUUUGUUUUCUUAUGCUGCUGCUUCUAGAGCAAAACUAAAUAAGUGACACAUCAACUCUUUAAGGAUCUUGUUUCCAACGAGAGAACCGAGGAUACACGUUCUGAGGACAUUGGUUUAUUCAAGAUGAUGUGACAACUUUAGAAAAAAAAAAUCCCCUUAAUAAAAGAGGUUUAUAGGCCAAAUGGACUUCCCUUUCUGGUCUAAAUGUCAUGUUUGUGAAAGUGGUGUGGUAUAAAUAGCAAAGUGGGGAAACGAGAAAUUAUCCCUCCGCUGAAUAAAUCAGACUCUUAGCUGACCCUCCCUCACAAGGCUGGUGCUUUCUAAGCUCUCAGGUUUCCACUCAAACAUCACCUCUCAGGAGUCACCUUCUAAAAUCGCUCCUCCACUACUUUUUAUCCCCUUACCCUCCUCUUUAUUUGAGUAAUAGUAUUAUCACUAGCUGGCAUUUUAUUUUUGUUUACUUGUUUAUUAUCUGUUUCCUUCUACUAGAAGAUAAGCUCUUUAUGUGAAUGUGUCUCUGUUAUUGCUGUUUUCCUGGAAACCGGCUUCCUAAAUUCAACUCCCUAAAUAAACAUUUAGGACGCCACUUAUAAAUAAAACAAUUCUGUUUUCUCUACACAUGCUGGAGAAACUGUAGGAUCUGGAGAUACCAUUAAAGAUAAACAGGAGACCAAAGUUAGUUCAUUGAGAAGGAUUUUCCACUUCAGACACUACAAAGAGGGGUCUCCUCACUCAGAAUUUUUCUGUUUUCUCAGCAUCGCAAGCAAAACACAGUAUUUGGGUAAGAAAAAAAAAAAAGUCCAAUAAGUCUAUGCCUUAUCUCAGACAUCAAAGAAAAGAAAGUGAAACAGAGAAACACUGGUUCCAGAUUUGCUGGAAAGAGUCUUAAAAAGGUGCCUGAAACCCACUCUGCAGGUUCCUUUUAAUGGUUCAAUUUGGUUUUUAAAGCUUUUUCUCUUCAGUGCUGAGGAAGAUUCAUUUAUUCAUUCAACCAACAGCUCUGAAAGUCUAAGGGAAUGCCCCCCAACCUUCUAUCAUUUUCUAGUUAAUUACACUGUGUCGAUUUCCUAGCAGGUACUUACCUCUUUGUAAAGUUAUAUAUAUUCUUUUCUUAUUAAGGCUACAUCUGUGGCCUAUAGAAAUUGCAAG
Non-coding RNA from Sus scrofa (pig), 2995 nucleotides. The record is from RefSeq and is a predicted model, not a curated record. NCBI's taxonomy places the organism in Eukaryota, Metazoa, Chordata, Mammalia, Artiodactyla, Suidae.